This 379-nucleotide unclassified non-coding RNA is filed under the name uncultured Gammaproteobacteria bacterium. RNAcentral describes it as "contains 16S-23S intergenic spacer region". Lineage: Bacteria; Pseudomonadati; Pseudomonadota; Gammaproteobacteria. The record is from RNAcentral.
UCCGGUUUGUCACCGGCAGUCCCAUUAAAGUGCCCACCCGAAGUGUGGCAACUAAUGGCAAGGGUUGCGCUCGUUGCGGGACUUAACCCAACAUCUCACGACACGAGCUGACGACAGCCAUGCAGCACCUGUGUUCCGGCUCCCUUUCGGGCACCCCCGCCUCUCGGCAGGGUUCCGGACAUGUCAAGGGUAGGUAAGGUUUUUCGCGUUGCAUCGAAUUAAUCCACAUAAUCCACCGCUUGUGCGGGUCCCCGUCAAUUCCUUUGAGUUUUAACCUUGCGGCCGUACUCCCCAGGCGGUCGACUUCACGCGUUAGCUUCGUUACUAAGGAAGUUUCCUUCCCCAACAACCAGUCGACAUCGUUUAGGGCGUGGACUAC